Small nucleolar RNA from Dioscorea cayenensis subsp. rotundata (Guinea yam), 106 nucleotides. The record is from RefSeq and is a predicted model, not a curated record. NCBI's taxonomy places the organism in Eukaryota, Viridiplantae, Streptophyta, Magnoliopsida, Dioscoreales, Dioscoreaceae.
AGUUAAUGAUGUAGGCAUCUCCUCAAGAAGUCCUUGAACCUUUCUCAUAUUUCAAACAAUGAUUCUGUAUCCAUUUGAGUGAAUGAAGUGAUCUCUUACCUAAUCU